CACUGAGAAACUGUAGCACCUUUAUAUCACCUGUUGCAGUAGCUCCAGGAAUCUACCCACCGAUCAUGCUGGCCCAUCGUCCUCUGUAAUGGAAGAUGUGUGUAAGAAGACUGGAGUGAGUGAUCAAUAACUCAAUCAAGAAAUCCCUGAGAGUGACAUCAUUCUAAUCGCAGAGAAAUUUUCUAACCUACUGAGCCGUGCACAAGGUUUUGACAAUUGACGAUCUACAACAUGUUUACGAGAAACUACACACUGCACAAAGUGCCAGCCCUCACUGGUUCAAUCUGGGAUUGGCUCUAGGUUUAACUAAUCCUGUUCUCACCAACAUCGAUAGCAAGCAUCGUGGCGAUAAUGUGUCGUCUUUACGUGCAAUGUUGGCUGAGCUUCUGAAUACGAAAGAUGUAACAUGGAGUCUCCUGACAGAUAGUGUCAAAAAGUCCACAGUGGAUCUCAAAAAUUUGGCUGAUAGCGUCACAGCCACAACUCCUAACCUGCUCAAUCGACUCAACCUCACCCAAGCCGACCUCGGUGCCGGUGAUGUAACUGAUGCCACACAUCGUUAUGGCAAUCAAGCUGGAGUGGCUCAUGCAUUGAGAGCGUGGCAAAGAGUGAAUCCUUCCAGAGCUACCUUCAGGGCCUUGGUGGAAAUUGCCAUAGAACUGAGAAUAGGCACUGCUGUAGACAUUUGUAGAUUUAUUAUAAGUAACUGAACAAAGAUUUAUUUGCCAUGGGACUGAGAAGAGGAGACACUGUUGUAGAUAUUAUUUUGUAUGCUGUAGACAUUUGUAGAUCAUUGUAAGGAACUGAACAAAGAAAAUAAUAUUUAACAUUUUGUUUUUUAUUCUGAGUCUGUGAUGUGUGCUUUUUUC
Halichondria panicea is the source of this 869-nucleotide long non-coding RNA. RefSeq lists it as uncharacterized. Lineage: Eukaryota; Metazoa; Porifera; Demospongiae; Suberitida; Halichondriidae. The transcript is spliced from 4 exons. The record is from RefSeq and is a predicted model, not a curated record.